RNAcentral lists this ribosomal RNA (253 nucleotides) under uncultured bacterium. Its description in RNAcentral is "partial 16S ribosomal RNA". It matches the Rfam family "Bacterial small subunit ribosomal RNA", at positions 524 to 776 of the family's 1533-position model. The record is from RNAcentral.
UACGUAAGUGGCGAGCGUUAUCCGGAAUUACUGGGCGUAAAGCGUACGUAGGCGGCUUUGUAAGUUAGAGGUGAAAGCCCGGGGCUCAACUCCGGAAUUGCCUUUAAGACUGCAUAGCUUGAAUCAUGGAGAGGUGAGUGGAAUUCCGAGUGUAGAGGUGAAAUUCGUAGAUAUUCGGAAGAACACCAGUGGCGAAGGUGGCUCACUGGCCCGGUACUGACGCUGAGGUGCGAAAGCGUGGGGAGCAAACAGG